RNAcentral lists this non-coding RNA (724 nucleotides) under Zorotypus medoensis. The record is from RNAcentral. Lineage: Eukaryota; Metazoa; Arthropoda; Insecta; Zoraptera; Zorotypidae.
UAAAAGUUUUAUUCUAGUUUUUUACUUGGUUAUUAAUUGUUUAUAUAUGAAUUUUUUUUAAAUAGUUAUUAUUAUAAUAGUUAGAUUUAAUUAAUUAAGGAAACUUAGAAUUAGGGUUGAUAAAGAGUUUGGUUAAAUUUGUGCCAGCAUCCGCGGUUAUACAAUUAAAUAGUAAAGUUUUUUAGGAUUAGUUAGGGGUUUGUAGUAAUAAAAUGAAUAAUUUAAGGUGAAAUUUGAUUAACUGUUUUAUACUUUUUAUUGAGGCUAUAAAAUUAUUUGAAUGACUAGGAUUAGAUACCCUAUUAAUUUAAAAAUGUAAGUUUUGUCCUAUAGUAGUAAAUUAGGGCAUGAAACUAAAAGAAUUUGGCGGUAUAAAAUCUUAUUAGAGGAACUUGUUUUGUAAUUGAUGGUACUCAUUCUACCUUACUUUUAUUAAAUAUUUAUAUAUCGCUGUUGUUAAUAUUUUUAAAGAAUUAAUUUAGGGUAUUUAAUUUUAUAGGAAUUCAGGUCAAGGUUUAGUUGAUAUAAAAGUAGUAAUGAGUUACAGUAUGUUUAUAUGCGGAUUCAAUAUUUAAAAUUAUGGAUGAAGAUGGAUUUGAAAGUAAUUUUAUUGAGAAAUAGAAUGAAAUUUGAACUUUUAUAUGUACAUAUCGCCCGUCACUCUCGAUUAAGUUGAGAAAAGUCGUAACAAAGUAGAUGUACUGGAAGGUGUAUCUAGUUAAUG